RNAcentral lists this ribosomal RNA (253 nucleotides) under uncultured bacterium. Its description in RNAcentral is "partial 16S ribosomal RNA". It matches the Rfam family "Bacterial small subunit ribosomal RNA", at positions 524 to 776 of the family's 1533-position model. The record is from RNAcentral.
UACGAAGGGGGCGAGCGUUGUUCGGAUUUACUGGGCGUAAAGGGCGCGCAGGCGGCAGACCAAGUCAGGCGUGAAAGCCCCGGGCUUAACCUGGGAGGUGCGUCUGGGACUGGUAUGCUAGAGUUCGGCAGAGGAGACUGGAAUUCCUGGUGUAGCAGUGAAAUGCGCAGAUAUCAGGAGGAACACCGGUGGCGAAGGCGGGUCUCUGGGCCGAUACUGACGCUGAGGAGCGAAAGCGUGGGGAGCGAACAGG